RNAcentral lists this ribosomal RNA (253 nucleotides) under uncultured bacterium. RNAcentral's name for it is "partial 16S ribosomal RNA". It matches the Rfam family "Bacterial small subunit ribosomal RNA", at positions 524 to 776 of the family's 1533-position model. The record is from RNAcentral.
UACGGAGGAUCCAAGCGUUAUCCGGAAUCAUUGGGUUUAAAGGGUCCGUAGGCGGUCAGGUAAGUCAGUGGUGAAAGCCCAUCGCUCAACGGUGGAACGGCCAUUGAUACUGCUUGACUUGAAUUAUUAGGAAGUAACUAGAAUAUGUAGUGUAGCGGUGAAAUGCUUAGAGAUUACAUGGAAUACCAAUUGCGAAGGCAGGUUACUACUAAUGGAUUGACGCUGAUGGACGAAAGCGUGGGGAGCGAACAGG